UUAAGAAAUGGGGAACUUGGACUGCUUCUCAUGUAAGGAGCAAAGGAGAAUUACUAGGCAAGUGCUACAGAGCAAGUUGGAUGCCGGGCCUGACCAGAGGCUGGAAGGCUCCGGAUGUGGCACAUUGGAACUGCAUCAAGUGCCAAAAACAGACUCAGCUGCAUUGUGAAGCUUUAUGCAUUGCUCGUGAAGCAGUAAAGGGGCUGACUACAACACCGGCAAUUGUGCUCACUUGAAAAAGAAGUGACACUGAGCUCCCGUCUCACACCCUGACAGCCUGUUCCAGAGCUUUAUCAAGUGCCAGACACUGGAGAGUGGUGAAGAUACAGCUGCCUUCAAGAAUCAUGGAGACCCUGCCUUUGUGAUCCAAAUAGAACUUCUACUCUGAAGAUCUGAAGCUGAUGUCAUGUCUGGGAUCCAUGUUUCUCUGAACCUGAGAUGAAGACCAAGGCCAAAUUCUGCUUUUGGAAUCUGGGGACUCUCAAUCCAGGGGCUGAGUUUUCAACAAGAACCAAAAUGAAAGUAGAUUUACUUCUCCAUUAACUCCUGGCAAUGAUGCAAGUCUUCAAAGCCUUGAGUUCAAAACCGGUACCGUCUCCUUGAGUGAAAGCGGCCUUCCUCUCCACUUUGUCUAAGGAUAGGAAGGCACUGGCCACCUGUCUAGAGAUGUGACCUUUAACCUUACAUUUCAGCAGACAGCUUCUCAAGUGCAUUGCAUUAAAAUUACCAACCUUGGAGGGAUAAAGAGAUCUGGGAUUUAAACAUAUCCUUAUAUGAUUUUUUUUUACUUUUAUUUGAUAAAAAUGCCAGGGUUGAGAUAGCACUGAAAAGAGGAAAAAAAGAAAAAAAAAAAAACCCAGCAAGAAUUCUCCAAACUCCUUUCUUGGCUCGUGUUUAUUCUCAUGCCUUAGUAUAUUUCAAAGUACAACCAAGUUGUUAAUGUUUUUCAUUAAACAAAACAAUGUAAUGUCAGCCACAAUGGUUUUUAUCAGCCUGACUACCAGCUGACAGGUAAUGAGUUUGAGCCACGAGACUCAAGGUCACUUUCACUGUUUUCUCAUUUGUGUCCCAGUUGUAAUUCACUCUCUGUAAUGCUCUCCCUGAAACACCCUGCUUUAGAUAUAUCAUUGCUUUCUCCCUUAGGACCAGGACAAAUAGUGCAGCCCGCACCACGCAGAGCCCAGUGCUGGAUUAGCAUAGUGAUUCAUAUUUUGUGAGCUGUGUUUCUGAAGUUUAGAGAGUGACAGUCAUUUGUACCCUCAAAGCAGUGAAUUAGUCAUCAGGCGCUGCUGGCUGCUAAAUGGACCACUUUGGCAUCUAGACCCCACAGGACUUGGCGUAAGGUAGGGUUUGUUCUGAACUUCAACAGGGUUUGAACUGCAUCAAGAAUGUGCUGUUUUUUGAAUUUAACUCGACUGGUAUAUUUUGAGAGUCCCGAGAUGGCUGACUAGGGUCUCAGCCUACCGCCUAGCCACAUGUUUUGGUUGGCUGUCCUUGUUUAGUUGAUAAUUGUGUCCAAGGAAGCCAGAUGUGGUAGUUAGCAUGCCUACAGUCCCGGUUUAGGGAGGCUGAUGCAGCUUGAGCCACACAGUUCCAUCUUGUCUUAAACAGCAGCAGAAGCAACAGCAAGAAAAGGAAGCAAACACCCCAAAGCAAAACUAUCUCUACCCAACAAAAACUUGAGCAAGUAUUAAAGGAUAAACUGUAGCAGCUGUCCACCCCUUCCCUGUAGUUGGUACUUUCCAUUCCAAACUCCGGCCCUUUCCACUCCUCACUGUGAAGCCUUCCUCUCUCCCCUUCCUUAUCCUCGCUAUGAUGUAUUGGUCAUUUAUACUCACCAUAUUUUUCUACCAUGUGAUUUUGUUCUAUCAUUUACUUAAAUGUUUCUCUCUUGGUCUAGCCUAUUUUUCAAAAAUUUCCAAACAUUAGUUGAACUCAUCAAAGAAUUAUUAACAACCAAAUCACUUUUAUAACAAAACAAAACAAAACUUUCUUUCCAUUGCGUGUGGUGAUACACACAUGAGUCCAAACCCAAAACAAGGGCAGACAAGGAACAAGGAUGGCCAAGGAGGAAGAUGUACUACCUGCUGCUUGUUGGGAGAUCCUGGGAAAUCAUUUUCAAAGCUACAUGGUCUGAGAAUAAACAGGCCUCAGGAUUUUAAACGGGGGAGGGCAUGUUUAUUUAUAAAUGAAGGUGGGCAUGACCCCAAGCAUGCUCUGUUUAAAAUGGUCAAGGUCAUAUUUCAAGGAGGAAAGAUAACAAAAAAGAAAUACUCUGGAUAUGCUUAAUGUAUGUCAGAAAUGUGGUAGGUCUCAGUAGUCCCCAGAGUGUUUAGCUUCGUUUCUAAAAAAUAUUUAUCUGCAACCAAAGGAAGAACCACUCUUAAAGAUGAAUUAAUAUAAGAGUUUGCCCCUAGGGAAGCUACCUUACCUAACUGCUAACAAUCUAGCAUUCAGAAAGCUGAGGCAGAAGGAUUAGUACUUUGAAACCAGCCUGGAUUAUAUAGUGAGAGUCUGUCUGUCUGUCUGUCUCUCUCCCUCUCACACACACACAGAAAUUCUCUCUCAUGUAAUUUUUUUAACUUUUUUUUUUUUUUAAGACAGAGUCUCUGUGUGUAGCCUUAGAAGUUGCUGUAUAGACCAGGCUGGUCCCCAACUUGCAAUCACCUGCCUCUGUCUUCUGCGUGCUGGGGCUAAAGGCUUGCACCAAAACCGCUCCUGGUUCACAUUAAUAUUCCUAAGCAGAUUCUUAUUAGUGAUUUUAACUGAACACAAAAAGACAGGAAAAAUAUCUACAAAGAAAUAAUAUGCUGACGCCUUCAAGCCAUACUUUAGGUAGAGUACAUAAAUGGACAUGAACUAGUUAAGUUGUAAAAGAAUAUAAAUAAAACAAAUGUUAGCUUACCGGUUGCUGUGGAUAGAGGGAUUCAGGUAAAAGGGGAAUAGUGAUGUGGUAAUGCAAGAAGGCAACAAGGGCUAAAGGUCUUGGGCCAGGCAGGAAGAAAGACUUUAAUAAGACCCACCACCUAAGCUAACUCCUACUAACCUUGUUCCCCUCCCUAUUGCUAAUGAGUUCAAGCUAAAGUGCAUAAAUUGCAAACAGCCAAGACUUACCUGAAGACUCUGGGCCUUGAUAAGCAAUCUAAAGAUUGAAAGAUUAUAUUUUAUAAUUAAAUCUUUCUGUAACCUUGAGUUGAGUACGUGCAAGGUGAGAAGGUAAAGACCAUCCUGCUGUGGGGAACAGUUUCCAGGCUAGGAGGGGAUGUGCCCUUCUAAACCCAGAGUUCUUUGACUGUGAUUUCCAGAAGAAUUCUCUGAACUAAGGGCUGCAUGUUCAUAUGGGUGAGCCGAAGUGAUAGCGAAUCACACUGGUUUUUGUCUUGUUUUUUCUUUCUGAGAUUCAGAGGCUGAUGUGAUAGUGGUGAGUGAUUGUACUCUAUCAAGGCAACUGUUGCAGAGCUACCACAUUUAAAAGGAAAGCCUUUUGUAUGGACUCAUGGACUGCAUCUAUCCUGCAAAAUUGGCCGCUGCAGGCACAGUAUUAUGCCAUAGUCAAAGCCCUUGAUAACAUGUGGAUUCAAAGCCUACAGGCACUUGACCUUGCAAGGAACUCAGGGUUCACAAGGAUCGUCACAUUUUCCCAUACUGCCUUUCUUUGGUCUUAAGUCUACUGUUUGCUAAAUAAUUCCCCCUAGUUAAGGAACCUCAACAAUCUACUAGACGUUCUGAUCCUCCUGAGACCAUGGAAGUAUCGAGAACUUUAGUCAUACUUCAUCCUUCAAGGUCACACAAUCAAUUGCAAGGAAAGCCUUUUGCUACUCUUAAUUUAAAUUUUUAAGACUUAUUUUCGGUUGUAUGGGUACGUGCUCCUGAGUGCAGGUUCUGGCAGAAGGCACUGGAUCCUCUGGAACUGGAGUUACAGGCAAUUGUGAGGCAAGCACUUCUGGACCUCUGCCAUCUCUCCAGCUCCACUCUGCUGUUCUCGUCGCAAUGGGAUGUUUACCCUCUGGGUCAGCAACUGUUGUUUCAUUUGCUAUUUUUUGUUUUGUUUUGUUUUUUUUUUUGUUUGUUGUUUUUUUUCCCCCUUCUGGGACUCUGACUGUGAGCCACAUGCUACAAAGUGGAAAUGAGGAAGCAUUCCUCUGUCACCUGAAAUAUUUUCUUCCUGGGAGGAAAGAGCAAGCUGUUAUCCACCCAUAGAUGAGGGGACAUGGAGCUGCCCAAAUUGUCACUCCUAUUGGUUUCCUAGGACUGAUGAAACAAACUUGAGGACCUGGGAUUCGGAAAGACCAGCGUGUGUUCUCCCACAGCUGAAGAGGCUGAAAUCUGUGAUGAAGUAUCUGCAGGCUCUCAGCAAGAACACUUCCGUGUCUCUCCCUGGCUUCUGCUGGUUAUGAGCGCUCCUUACUGUGUGGUGGUAGCAUCUGCCAGGCUUCUCUCACAGUCUCCUUAACACAUGGUUUCUCCCUGUGUGCCUUUAGGUAUACUUUUCUCUCUCCUUUAAGGACACUUUUAUUGGACUUAGGACCCACUCAAAUCCAAAAUGACCUUAUCUCAAACCUGCAAAGAUCCAAUUUCCAAACGAGGUCACGUUCUUGAGGUUGUAGGUAGACAUCAAGCAUGUGGGAGGUCGUUACUGGUGUGCUGUUUCCACCUACUCUCCCUCCCACCGUAGCCCACCAGACCCAACCCUGGAGAACCUUUUGCUCUGAAAAUGCCUUCCCCACAAUACAGACUGGCAUUCUAUUCAGAGUUUCAGCCAGACUGCCUGAUGAGAAGCUGAUGUUAUCACCAUCACCUCUAAGAAAAGGAACUCCAUGGAUAGCAAAGAGCACCAACCAGGAAGCUACAGCUGUAAAAGGAAGCAGCAAGUGCUAUUGUGUGGGUGGGAAGACCAAACACCAUUCUUGAGCGUUAAACCCACAGAGUAAAUAAAAUCUCCGUCAGCACCAAGAGGAUAUAUUGGAUUCCAGGACAAAUAAAUGUCUGAGUCUGUAGCUAUUAUUCAACUUCUGUAAGCUAUCCUUAGGAAACUAUAGAUGGUGAAGAUUUUCUGGAAGAACAAACCAAACUAAAAUCCUGCUGAAAGGCUGGUGGCAUCAGGCUGUCAGCUCAGUGGUAGAAUUGGGGCUUAGCAUGCAUGAAGACCUUGGUUCCACCUUUUGCAUUGGCAAAAACAUAAAUAAAAAUAACCGUAGUUUUGAAGGAGAAAACUCCUGCAUACAAGUCUAACACACUCUACAGAGCCGAGGGUAUUUUCCCUUUGCAAGCUCAGUGAGGACGCAUCACAUGUGGCUGAGGUCAAAUCAAAGGUUUGUCCUAUAAGCCUGUCACAUAGAGAUAAAGCCCAGGAUGGAACCAAAUACAAAGUUUCUUUUUCUAGAGCAGUGAUUCUCAACCUUCUUAAUGCUGAAGCCUUUUAAUACAGUUCUGCAUGCUGUGGUGACUCCCCAACCAUAUUUUCGUUGCUAUUUCAUAACUGUAAUUUUGCUACUGUUGUGGAUUGUAAUGUAAAUAUACGAUAUACAGGCUCUCUGAUAUGUGAUAUGAUAUACAGGUUAUCUGAAAAGGCUGAGGUUGAGAACAGCUGUCCUAUGGUGUCAGAAUGAAUUGCUCUCCCAACACUGACACCCGAGAACCAGGAAGUCAUGUUCGAAGUCUUGGUGUCCAGAGUUUCCCUUGGAGCUCUAUUACACAGGAAAGGCUGAUUCAUUACAUGGUGGACUCCGGUUUCCAGUCCUUAUCAACUCUUUAAUGACCCAAAGUCCCCAGCCACAGAGGUUAGUUCUGCUUGACAGGGCUCACCCCUCAGCCCAUCGCUCCCAAAGGCAUUCUCUCUGGACACGUGUGGAGGACAGAAGUAAGGCUUCUUUUGGAGCAAGGUUUAAUUUUGUAUUGCGAAUCCCUGAGAAGCUGGAUGCCUUCACUGAUGCGUACGCCAGUUCAGGUUGUUUGCAUCUAGGAAAGCUCAUGGGGCUGGAGACACAAGAGAAGGCUUGGUUGAUGGAAACGCUUGCUGCUUUUUCAGAGGCUCCGAGUUCAGUUCCAGCAGCCACAUUGGGUAGCUCACAACUGCUUAACCGUACUUCAGGGCACCCUAAUUCUAUGACACCACACACAUGCACACAGACACACAAUGCACAUAAGUAAAAUAAAGCAAAUCUUUAAAACACCCUAAGUAAUUUUGGCUUGGAGUAUAACUUAGUAGAAAUAAAAAUGAAAUAAAUCUCACUAGUUUGGGCUGGGGUAUUUCCUAGUAGGUAGAGUGCCUUCAUAGCAUGUUUGAAGCCCUGGAUCUGAGUCUGAGUACCCCAUAAACCAGGCAUGGUGGUACACAUGUGUGUAAUAUUAGUACUUGGGAGGCAGAGGCUAUAGUGUCAGAAGUUCUAGGUCAUCCUCAGCUAUAUAGGGAAUAUGAGGGCAGCCUAGGAUGCGUAAGAUUUUAACUCAAAAGUAAAACCAAAAGCAGAGAGAUGGCUGAGUGGUUAAGAGCACUUGCUGCUUUACCAUGAAGACCAGAAUUCAGAUCCCAGCACCUACACUGGGCAUCUCACAUGCCUGUAACUCCAGUGUCAAGGGGUCUGACAAAUGCUUGUAAGUCUGUCUCUGAGACCCUCUUCUGACUUUGCGCGUGCACACACACACACACACACACACACACACACAUGAAAGAAUAACACAAAAUAAAAUAAUAAUAAUAGCACUGCGUACAACUCAGAAAUUCUAUAAACUCUUUAUUGAUUAGUACAGAAUAUGAAGCAACCUAGAAUAGUGGACAUUGGUUUGGAUUUUUUACUAAAGUGUCAUGCUGUUCGCUAUGUGUUUUCCAAAAAAAUUCCCACUCCUUUUGUGCCUCAGUUUUCUCCUUCACAAACUGGGUAAGUAACAAAUCCAAACUCUAAUAAAUCAAUACAUGUGAAAUAAUUAAAACAGUACUUACUGUAUACCAACUGCUCAACUUACUUUAAAAUAUUAAUCAGUAAUAAAUCACAACAUAAAAUUUAUCAACAUGAAAUAUUUGGCCUUUUCUCUUUUCAUGUAAUUGAUGACCAGUUGGAUGUAUUUCCAGCGCUUUUUAUAUCUUAAAAGCUUAAGUAAACAUUAAUAAACAUUAAAAAAAACAUUAACAAACAUUAGAGAACCAUACCACACAGAGCCUUCAAUUUUACUAUUUCAAGUUUUCAUAGCCUUACUUAUUUGUAAACGAGUAGGAGUUCUGAAGUCAUUUGGAUAUUGGAUGAAUGGGUGAAACUUAAGCCACAGCAUAACUGACAUUUUUCUGUUUGUACAUGCACUAAGCAUGGGAGCGGCUGCAAGCCACCUGGGCUAGAGAUGCCAAAAGGUGCCUUUGAUCUGUUUAAAGUCAUAAUAACAAAUGUUUGUCCCCACACAGUCCUGUUCAGCUUCACAAUUCUUUCGUCACAUCGGAGUGUAAUAUUUGCCAAGAAACACCACUUUCCAAAUGUUGAGUCAAAAAAACAAAACAAAACAAAAUAAUAAUCUCAUGGAAAUUUCUGCUUACCUCGGAAGCAAAGUUAUAGCUUUCCUAUUGUGAAAUAGUAAAAGAGGAGGAGGAAAGAAAGAUUCUUUUUUAACUGCUAUGCUAAGAGUCUCCAAAUGUUGCAGCAAAUAUACAAUUAUUUCCAAUUAAAUGAAAACCUGAGCAAAGCUUUCCAUAUGCCAGUACUAGGCUGGUGGACUUAAGGAUAUGCAUGCAUAGAGCCUGACAGAGGCCAAGAUAAACCCAGUACUGAGGGGCAUCGACUCCAUCAGGUGAAGCAGUUUGAUUCUGCCUGAGUGAGGUAGAAGCAGGAGCCCUCCAACCAUCAGUGAUUUGAGGCAUGAUGGCGGAGGAAAUGCCUAAUUUAUGGAAUGUCUAUGCGGUGCUCUAUGCACAACAAUGGUUGGGAACAAGGAAUGACUUCUUACAUGGGCCUGGAGAGACAUGUGCCCAUCAGCCAGGGAAGGUGACCUAAGGGUUUUCAACUCACUGGAGUGAAACAAAGGAACAUACACCUUUUGGGACGAGACACAGUUGCCCUGAAACACUGGCCUCCAUGUAAGUAGCUCUUCUUCCUCCUUUUUAGGUUGAGAUCUAACUGAUUAAGCUAACCACAGCAAGAAUUUAUAGAAAUCUUUCUUACCUUUCAAGAGAUGUUUAGAGCCAUUACCAUGAGCUGCUCCAAAUAAUGUUAUGAGGGUCGUGAGCACCCAUGAGGACAGUGUCCUCAGGCUGGUAGCUGUCAGAGAGGUGAUUCCAGGGCUGUCCUUGGAGCAGAACUUCAGAAACCUGACUGGUGUCUUAGGACUCUUCAUAGUGUUGUAGUUCAUCCCACAAUAUUCAGCUCUCUCUCUCUCUCUCUCUCUCUCUCUCUCUCUCUCUCUCUCUCUCUCUUUGUUCCUUUUUAAUGGGUAAGAGUUUUCAAAUUGCAAGGCAUGCUGGCAACAUUUCCAUUUUAAGAGGCUUAAAAUUUUAAUUUUCUUUCCCAUCUCAUCAGAGCAUUUUAAAAAGUUUAAUACUCCUUUUUAUUAUGCCACAUACUGAACAUUUCCAACCACUUGAAUCCUGACCCCCCCUCGCCCUUCCCCCAAGCCUGGGCAGGACUUGAUUUUCUAGACAUCAGUAGAUUGUGGAUCCUGUGGCUAGAGAACAUUCCACUGAGAAGAAAUGGGUCAAAGCCCCUCUGCCUUGUGAGACCCCAUUCUGUGAAAGAGAGAGAAGGUGAUGGGUUUGGGUCUGGGGGACAAGUAGCUCAGGUACACGCAGUUUGUCUAGCCUGCCCCUGGCCUUAGGGAUGUUGUUGAUCCUGUCCCUAAAGCAUAGGAUGGCUGUGUCCUCCCUUGGUGUUAGCUUGCUGAAUUGAAUCAGGGUGCUUAUCUUCCCAUUCCAUGCCUGACACUGGUACCCAUCUGUUGCGUUUCCAUCCCAGUGACAACCUCAUUAGAUUUCAAGAAAAGCAGCUAGUGGCUCCAUUAAAAUGUCUUGAAUUAUUUUGGCUUCACCCUUAAGCAACUGCUUAAUUGGCUUCUUUCCCCUGAGACAAGCAUUUUCCUGUGGUGGGAAGAGAGGAAUUAUAGAUUCUGGAACACAAGAUAACUGGGGACUUCUGGAAAGACUCUCCCAUUUGCUGAGGUUUCUUGGAAGAAAAUAUUUGUUAGCACCUCACUGGGCCUGAUUUUUGCAUUGUAAAAACUUUCAGAAUUUAUAUCUGGUUAUUUCAAGUCUAUCAUUUAAAGGGGUGAGAGUAAAUAAGCAGCAAUGGCUACAACAAAGAGAAAUGCAAUGUAGGCUUGUAGGUUAGUUUUCACACGUUCAGGCAAAAAUAGCCUAUUGUUCCUGGGGAAAGAGAACACUUGUAAGUCAACAGCUACUAACUUUCUCAGCGUCUUUGUUCUUGUCAUUAUAUCACUAUGUUUAUGUUUGUAAACCACUGCUAGGUUAACAUUGUACAUGUAAGAAAUGCACAUUAAAACAUUUGCUGAUGGUU
Meriones unguiculatus (Mongolian gerbil) is the source of this 9488-nucleotide long non-coding RNA. RefSeq lists it as uncharacterized. Lineage: Eukaryota; Metazoa; Chordata; Mammalia; Rodentia; Muridae. The transcript has 6 exons. The record is from RefSeq and is a predicted model, not a curated record.